This 222-nucleotide unclassified non-coding RNA is filed under the name Hevea brasiliensis (rubber tree). Lineage: Eukaryota; Viridiplantae; Streptophyta; Magnoliopsida; Malpighiales; Euphorbiaceae. The record is from RNAcentral.
AGACAAGUUGUCAAUGUAAAAAGAAGAUAUGUAAAAGUCUUGGCCCUUAUAGUUCAAAUGAUCUCACUUGACCAUUGAUCGCAAGCAUACAAAUAUUUAGAAAAAAAGUGGGAAUGAGCAAUUCAAAUCAUACCUCGAAGUGGCAAUAUAAGGUAGCAACGCAUAAUGAUGCAGAUAUAUUUCUUUUAUCUAUCCGUGUCUUAUCAACAACCAGAGGGAGAG